This 454-nucleotide ribosomal RNA is filed under the name uncultured bacterium. RNAcentral's name for it is "bacterial SSU rRNA". It matches the Rfam family "Bacterial small subunit ribosomal RNA", at positions 9 to 465 of the family's 1533-position model. The record is from RNAcentral.
GAGUUUGAUCCUGGCUCAGAUUGAACGCUGGCGGCAGGCCUAACACAUGCAAGUCGGGCGGUAGAGAGAAGCUUGCUUCUCUUGAGAGCGGGCGGACGGGUGAGUAAUGCCUAGGAAUCUGCCUGGUAGUGGGGGAUAACGCUCGGAAACGGACGCUAAUACCGCAUACGUCCUACGGGAGAAAGCAGGGGACCUUCGGGCCUUGCGCUAUCAGAUGAGCCUAGGUCGGAUUAGCUAGUUGGUGAGGUAAUGGCUCACCAAGGCGACGAUCCGUAACUGGUCUGAGAGGAUGAUCAGUCACACUGGAACUGAGACACGGUCCAGACUCCUACGGGAGCAGCAGUGGGGAAUAUUGGACAAUGGGCGAAAGCCUGAUCCAGCCAUGCCGCGUGUGUGAAGAAGGUCUUCGGAUUGUAAAGCACUUUAAGUUGGGAGGAAGGGCAGUAAAUUAUAC